UACGAAGGGGGCUAGCGUUGUUCGGAAUUACUGGGCGUAAAGCGCACGUAGGCGGACUAUUAAGUCAGGGGUGAAAUCCCGGGGCUCAACCCCGGAACUGCCUUUGAUACUGGUAGUCUCGAGUCCGGAAGAGGUGAGUGGAAUUCCGAGUGUAGAGGUGAAAUUCGUAGAUAUUAGGAAGAACACCGGUGGCGAAGGCGGCCCACUGGAUCGGUACUGACGCUGAGGUGCGAAAGCGUGGGGAGCAAACAGG
RNAcentral lists this ribosomal RNA (253 nucleotides) under uncultured bacterium. RNAcentral describes it as "partial 16S ribosomal RNA". It matches the Rfam family "Bacterial small subunit ribosomal RNA", at positions 524 to 776 of the family's 1533-position model. The record is from RNAcentral.